Molecule: ribosomal RNA, 815 nt
Filed under: uncultured organism
Description: bacterial SSU rRNA
Rfam family: Bacterial small subunit ribosomal RNA
Source: RNAcentral
ACUGGGCGUAUAGAGAGUUCGAGCCGGUUCUGCAAGUUGGGCGUGAAACCCCCGGGCCCAACCCGGGGAAGCCGUUCAAUACUGCAGGACUUGAGGGCACCAGAGGGAGGUGCAAUUCCCGGUGUAGCGGUGAAAUGCGUAGAUAUCGGGAGGAACACCAGUGGCGAAGGCGGCCUCCUGGGCUGUACCUGACGCUGAAUGCGAAAGCUAGGGGAGCAAACGGGAUUAGAAACCCCGGUAGUCCUAGCUGUAAACGGUGGAUGCUAGAUCUAGGGGGUGUAGAUUCCCUCUGUGUCGUAGCUAACGCGUUAAGCAUCCCGCCUGGGGAUUACGGCCGCAAGGCUAAAACUCAAACGAAUUGACGGGGGCCCGCACAAGCAGCGGAGCGUGUGGUUUAAUUCGAUGAUACACGAAGAACCUUACGUGGGCUUGACAUGUAGGUAAUAGCGAAGCGUAAGCGGAGCGACCCUUCGGGGAGCCUACACAGGUGCUGCAUGGCGGUCGUCAGCUCGUGCCGUGAGGUAUCGGGUUAAGUCCCGUAACGAGCGCAACCCCUGCUCUUAGUUAUACGUGUCCUAAGAGGACUGCCGGCGGCAAGUCCGGAGGAAGUUGGGGAUGACGUCAAGUCAGCAUGGCCUUUAUGUCCAGGGCUACACACACGCUACAAUGGCCGAUACAAUGGGUUGCGAAACCGCGAGCUGGAGCCAAUCCUCCAGAGUCGGUCUCAGUUCGAAUUGCAGGCUGCAACUCGCGUGCAUGAAGCUGGACUUGCUAGUACUCGCAGGUCAGCAAUACUGCGCUGAUAUGUUCCCGGG